Molecule: RNase P RNA, 398 nt
Filed under: Rhizobium leguminosarum
Lineage: Bacteria; Pseudomonadati; Pseudomonadota; Alphaproteobacteria; Hyphomicrobiales; Rhizobiaceae
Also listed under: 3 other names
Description: RNase P RNA component class A
Rfam family: Bacterial RNase P class A
About the family: Ribonuclease P (RNase P) is a ubiquitous endoribonuclease, found in archaea, bacteria and eukarya as well as chloroplasts and mitochondria.
Source: RNAcentral
CCAGUUGGCUGGGCAGCCGCGCUUUACCAAUGCCGAAAGGCGGUAGGGUGAGGAAAGUCCGGGCUCCACGGAAACACGGUGCCGGAUAACGUCCGGCGAGGGCGACCUCAGGGAAAGUGCCACAGAAAGCAAACCGCCUGUCAUGACAGGUAAGGGUGAAAGGGUGGGGUAAGAGCCCACCGCAUCUCCGGCAACGGAAAUGGCACGGUAAACCCCACCGGGAGCAAGACCGAAUAGGGAUGACGUGGCAGGUCGAAAGGCCUUCCGGCCGGUUUCCAGGCCAGUCAUCCGGGUGGGUUGCGCGAGGCAGCGUGCGAACGCUGUCCCAGAGGAAUGGCUGCCACGUUCCGGUUCACGCCGGAGCCAUACAGAACCCGGCUUACAGGCCAACUGGCGAU